GAUGAACGCUGGCGGCGUGCCUAAUACAUGCAAGUCGAGCGGACGGACGAGAAGUUUCCUUCUGUUAUGUUAGCGUCGGACGGGUGAGUGACAAGUGAAUAACCUGUCUAUAAGACUGAACUAACGUAUGGAACCGGGAACUAAUAUCUGAUGAUAUUUUGAACCGCAUGGUUCAGCAGGGAAAGACGGUCGUUCUGUCACUUGUAGAUGAAGCCGCGCUGUAUUAGCUGGUUGUUGAGGUAGCGGCUUACUACGGCCACGAUGCAUAGUCGACCUCAGAGGGUGAGCGUCCACGCUCGCACUGAGACAGAGACCAGACCCAGACGGGUGGCAGCAGUAGGGAAGGGUCAGAAAUGGGAGAAAGCGUGACGGAGCAACGCCGCGGGAGUGAUGAAGGUCUUCGCAUCGUAAAACUCUGUUACUAGGGAAGAACAUAUGUGUAAGUAACUGUGCACAUCGUGACGGUAGUUAUUCAAAAAGCCACGGCUAACUACGUG
RNAcentral lists this ribosomal RNA (497 nucleotides) under uncultured bacterium. RNAcentral's name for it is "partial 16S ribosomal RNA". It matches the Rfam family "Bacterial small subunit ribosomal RNA", at positions 28 to 507 of the family's 1533-position model. The record is from RNAcentral.